This 86-nucleotide transfer RNA is filed under the name Microbacterium sp. Its description in RNAcentral is "tRNA-Leu". It matches the Rfam family "tRNA". From Rfam's summary of the family: Transfer RNA (tRNA) molecules are approximately 80 nucleotides in length. Their secondary structure includes four short double-helical elements and three loops (D, anti-codon, and T loops). The record is from RNAcentral. Lineage: Bacteria; Bacillati; Actinomycetota; Actinomycetes; Micrococcales; Microbacteriaceae.
GCGCGGGUGGCGGAAUGGUAGACGCGCUACGUUGAGGUCGUAGUGCCCGCAAGGGCGUGGGGGUUCAAGUCCCCCUCCGCGCACAA